Molecule: long non-coding RNA, 358 nt
Filed under: Carica papaya (papaya)
Lineage: Eukaryota; Viridiplantae; Streptophyta; Magnoliopsida; Brassicales; Caricaceae
Description: long non-coding RNA (CPAP_LNC007593)
Source: RNAcentral
UAUUCUAAUCCUGCAAAGACUCGUUGAAACUACUAAUGUUAUCCUGGAUGGAGAAAUGGUUGUGCCAAUUUCUCCUAACCAAGUUAAAGAAAUCAGGGUGGGACAACCACCCAGCUAAAAAUUGAAAAGGCUUAGGGUCCUUAUUGGGGGUAUGAAAGGUGUAAGGGAUGAUUAAGAGAGACCUAUGAUCUGAUUGCAUUUUAGGAAGAUGAUGAGCAGUAGCCUCCGGGAACUGGUUACACCAUCUUUGGUUGCAAAUGGCUCUAUCAAGGCGUUAAAAUAAGGUCCUUCAUCGCCAAGUGAAGUUCGACCAACAUAAUCAAGUUGUUAUAAAGAGUUGACAUCAAUGAAGUGAUCA